This 522-nucleotide ribosomal RNA is filed under the name Rheinheimera chironomi. RNAcentral's name for it is "bacterial SSU rRNA". It matches the Rfam family "Bacterial small subunit ribosomal RNA", at positions 419 to 933 of the family's 1533-position model. The record is from RNAcentral. Lineage: Bacteria; Pseudomonadati; Pseudomonadota; Gammaproteobacteria; Chromatiales; Chromatiaceae.
CGGGUUGUAAAGCACUUUCAGCGAGGAGGAAGGGGUUGUAGUUAAUAGCUGCAACCUUUGACGUUACUCGCAGAAGAAGCACCGGCUAACUCUGUGCCAGCAGCCGCGGUAAUACAGAGGGUGCAAGCGUUAAUCGGAAUUACUGGGCGUAAAGCGCACGCAGGCGGUUGGUUAAGUCAGAUGUGAAAGCCCCGGGCUCAACCUGGGAAUUGCAUUUGAAACUGGCCAACUAGAGUACGUGAGAGGGGGGUAGAAUUCCAAGUGUAGCGGUGAAAUGCGUAGAGAUUUGGAGGAAUACCAGUGGCGAAGGCGGCCCCCUGGCACGAUACUGACGCUCAGGUGCGAAAGCGUGGGGAGCAAACAGGAUUAGAUACCCUGGUAGUCCACGCCGUAAACGAUGUCUACUAGCUGUUCGUGGUCUUGUACUGUGAGUAGCGCAGCUAACGCACUAAGUAGACCGCCUGGGGAGUACGGUCGCAAGAUUAAAACUCAAAUGAAUUGACGGGGGCCCGCACAAGCGGU